RNAcentral lists this ribosomal RNA (349 nucleotides) under Phlyctaenachlamys lysiosquillina. RNAcentral describes it as "partial 16S ribosomal RNA". It matches the Rfam family "Bacterial large subunit ribosomal RNA", at positions 1862 to 2515 of the family's 2925-position model. Lineage: Eukaryota; Metazoa; Mollusca; Bivalvia; Galeommatida; Galeommatidae. The record is from RNAcentral.
CCCGGUGGUAUUCUUAACGGCCGCAGUUGAUAGCUGUGCUAAGGUAGCGUAAUAAGUUGUCCUUUAAUUGAGGAAAGGUAUGAAUGGUUUGACGUAAAGAGUCCUGUCUCUUUUGGAUUAGUAGAAAUUUUCUUCUCAGUGAAAAGGCUGAGGGGCGGUUAAAAGACGAGAAGACCCUGUUGAGCUUGCCUUACCGGCCCACUGGUGGGUUGGGAAAGUUUAGUUGGGGCAACUAGGGAGCAAGGGUAGCCUCCCCUGGUGGUAUGGUGAUCCAGAAUUUUUGAAAAAAGAAAAAGCUACCACAGGGAUAACAGCGUUAUCUUUUCUGAGAGAACAAAUUGAAGAAAAG